GGGCUUCGAGUGGAUGAUCUGAAGAGAUCGGACAACCUGUAAGGCUGCUCAACAUCAGCAAGAGCUUCAUACCAUGCCUACCAGCAGUGGAGAUCAUCGAUCUGCAAAAAGGUGAUGAGUUCUGAACUCAACUAAUAUGAUCUAAAGGUUAAAUCGAAUUCAAGGCAUCGAUGUGAUCGAUGCAGUUUUCUAUUUUAUAUCAUAUUUUAUAUAUAA
RNAcentral lists this long non-coding RNA (216 nucleotides) under Elaeis guineensis (African oil palm). RNAcentral describes it as "long non-coding RNA (EGUI_LNC012520)". The record is from RNAcentral. Lineage: Eukaryota; Viridiplantae; Streptophyta; Magnoliopsida; Arecales; Arecaceae.